AACAGGAUUAGAUACCCUGGUAGUCCAUGCCGCAAACGAUGUCUACUAGCCGUUGGGGCCUUUGAGGCUUUAGUGGCGCAGCUAACGCGAUAAGUAGACCGCCUGGGGAGUACGGUCGCAAGACUAAAACUCAAAUGAAUUGACGGGGGCCCGCACAAGCGGUGGAGCAUGUGGUUUAAUUCGAUGCAACGCGAAGAACCUUACCUGGCCUUGACAUACUAAGAACUUUCCAGAGAUGGAUUGGUGCCUUCGGGAACUUAGAUACAGGUGCUGCAUGGCUGUCGUCAGCUCGUGUCGUGAGAUGUUGGGUUAAGUCCCGCAACGAGCGCAACCCUUUUCCUUAUUUGCCAGCGGGUAAUGCCGGGAACUUUAAGGAUACUGCCAGUGACAAACUGGAGGAAGGCGGGGACGACGUCAAGUCAUCAUGGCCCUUACGGCCAGGGCUACACACGUGCUACAAUGGUCGGUACAAAGGGUUGCUGCCUCGCGAGAGGAUGCUAAUCUCAAAAAGCCGAUCGUAGUCCGGAUCGCAGUCUGCAACUCGACUGCGUGAAGUCGGAAUCGCUAGUAAUCGCGGAUCAGAAUGCCGCGGUGAAUACGUUCCCGGGCCUUGUACACACCGCCCGUCACACCAUGGGAGUUUGUUGCACCAGAAGUAGGUAGUCUAACCGCAAGGAGGACGCUUACCACGGUGUGGCCGAUGACUGGGGUGAAGUCGUAACAAGGUAACC
Molecule: ribosomal RNA, 731 nt
Filed under: uncultured bacterium
Lineage: Bacteria
Description: bacterial SSU rRNA
Rfam family: Bacterial small subunit ribosomal RNA
Source: RNAcentral